Molecule: ribosomal RNA, 253 nt
Filed under: uncultured bacterium
Lineage: Bacteria
Description: partial 16S ribosomal RNA
Rfam family: Bacterial small subunit ribosomal RNA
Source: RNAcentral
GCCGUAGGGUGCGAGCGUUGUCCGGAUUUAUUGGGCGUAAAGAGCUCGUAGGCGGCUCGUCGCGUCGACCGUGAAAACUUGGGGCUUAACCCUAAGCUUGCGGUUGAUACGGGCGGGCUAGAGUUCGGUAGGGGAGACUGGAAUUCCUGGUGUAGCGGUGAAAUGCGCAGAUAUCAGGAGGAACACCGGUGGCGAAGGCGGGUCUCUGGGCCGAUACUGACGCUGAGGAGCGAAAGCGUGGGGAGCGAACAGG